This is a long non-coding RNA of Stegodyphus dumicola, 701 nucleotides long. The record is from RefSeq and is a predicted model, not a curated record. Lineage: Eukaryota; Metazoa; Arthropoda; Arachnida; Araneae; Eresidae.
AAAUACUAUCAUUAUGAGAAUUAUUUUUAAUAGCCAAAUUAGUCAAACCAAACAGAAGUCUUAUUUUCAUAUAAAUGAAACCACCAGGCUUUAAAAAUUUAAACACCUUAUACAAAUAUUUCUAAGGUCAGUUAGGUCAUUUCUCUUAAUCAGCGUGAUUUUGAUGACGCUUGUCUCAUGGAACGAAGGAGCCGUCCUGACAAAACGUGAGAGUGGUAUUGUCGAAAAUUCUCUCUCAGAAACUUCCAGCAUUACUCCAAUUUCAACAACACAAAAUUUUUAUUUGACAAUUGGAGAGUACACUUCUUUACAAAGUUGUGGGGAUCAGCUGGAAAACAGGUUUUCAGCGGUCUGCGAUGGAGUGUACUACACACCGGACAAUCAGAAAAGGAAACGCUUUAUAGAUCCAGUACUGGCAUGGCUCUCCGGUGAAAGUCGCGCAGUUGAUGAACACAAAAUUCGUAGAAGAGGGGCCGUCAAUGACUGCUGUUACAGACCCUGCACGAAUGCGUAUAUUAAACAUUAUUAUCGUGGACCGGCUCCAACACAACGACCUUUGUAAAAUAUCCUUUCGGAAUAUGGAAGUUUAAGGAUACAAUCACAGAGAAGAAUUCAAGAAUGUUAAAUAAAUUAAUAAUAUAUUAAUAAAUAUAUUAAUGAAUAUGGAAGUUUAAGGAUACAAUCACAGAAAAGAAUUCAAG